GACGAACCGUACAAACGUUAUUCGGAAUCACUGGGCUUAAAGGGUGCGUAGGCGGUGCAGAAAGUUGGGUGUGAAAUCCCUCGGCUCAACCGAGGAAUUGCGCCCAAUACUACUGUGCUAGAGGGAGAUAGAGGUGAGUGGAACUUAGGGUGGAGCGGUGAAAUGCGUUGAUAUCCUAAGGAACACCAGUGGCGAAAGCGACUCACUGGAUCUCUUCUGACGCUGAGGCACGAAAGCUAGGGGAGCGAACGGG
Molecule: ribosomal RNA, 253 nt
Filed under: uncultured bacterium
Lineage: Bacteria
Description: partial 16S ribosomal RNA
Rfam family: Bacterial small subunit ribosomal RNA
Source: RNAcentral